AUUGAACGCUGGCGGAAUGCUUUACACAUGCAAGUCGAACGGCAGCACGGACUCCGGUCUGGUGGCGAGUGGCGAACGGGUGAGUAAUGUAUCGGAACGUGCCCAGUCGUGGGGGAUAACGUAGUGAAAAUUACGCUAAUACCGCAUACGAUCUAUGGAUGAAAGCGGGGGAUCGCAAGACCUCGCGCGAUUGGAGCGGCCGAUAUCAGAUUAGGUAUGUGGUGGGGUAAAGGCCCACCAAGCCAACGGUCUGGAGCUGGUCUGAGAGGACGACCAGCCACACUGGAACUGAGACACGGUCCAGACUCCUACGGGAGGCAGCAGUAGGGAAUUUUGGACAAUGGGCGAAAGCCUGAUCCAGCCAUUCCGCGUGCAGGAUGAAGGCCCUCGGGUUGUAAACUGCUUUUGUACAGAACGAAAAGGUUUCUACUAAUACUAGGAGCUCAUGACGGUACUGUAAGAAUAAGCACCGGCUAACUACGUGCCAGCCGCCGCGGGAA
This 500-nucleotide ribosomal RNA is filed under the name uncultured bacterium. Its description in RNAcentral is "partial 16S ribosomal RNA". It matches the Rfam family "Bacterial small subunit ribosomal RNA", at positions 30 to 523 of the family's 1533-position model. The record is from RNAcentral.